Molecule: small nuclear RNA, 62 nt
Organism: Tupaia belangeri (northern tree shrew)
Lineage: Eukaryota; Metazoa; Chordata; Mammalia; Scandentia; Tupaiidae
Gene: U7
Rfam family: U7 small nuclear RNA
About the family: Animal histone pre-mRNAs are spliced by a different mechanism than nuclear pre-mRNAs and self-splicing introns. This processing involves the U7 snRNP, which contains only one RNA species: U7.
Source: Ensembl
CAGUGUUACUGCUCUUUUAGAAUUUGUCUAGCAGGUUUUCUGAUCUUUAUUGGAAAGCCCCC